GAAACCGCUUAGAGGCAAACGGGUGGAACCGCAAUGCGUCGACCCGGGGGAUUCAGUCGGUCCGUCGGGACGAGCCGGGGAACCGCGGAGCGCACCAGCGCCCGCGCCUCGGCUCGGUCUCCGCUGCGACCGGUGCACUUUCCCCGGCGUGGACGGCCACGACCGGCCCUCCAAGCAAGCGCGGCCAGAGAGCUAUCGCCGGUAAGGUGCCCGCAGCGGGUGGGGGGUUCGUCCUCCCCUCGCGCACGAGUCGGGUCUUACAGACCGGCUAGCCUAGGAGCUCGCCGGAGGGCCGAGGGAGAGCGCCGCCCGCCGCCGCGCGCCGGCCAUCCCCGCUCGAGUCAGCCUGGUCGUCAGUGCUCCGUCAGUGGCGUCCGAAAGCGAGCGCGGGAAGGUCGGGCCGCGCGCGACGGGCUUCGGGCCGGUGGCGAAUCGGUCGGCCUUCCACCCGACC
RNAcentral lists this ribosomal RNA (454 nucleotides) under Indonaia andersoniana. RNAcentral describes it as "partial 28S ribosomal RNA". The record is from RNAcentral. Lineage: Eukaryota; Metazoa; Mollusca; Bivalvia; Unionida; Unionidae.